RNAcentral lists this long non-coding RNA (6989 nucleotides) under Setaria italica (foxtail millet). RNAcentral's name for it is "long non-coding RNA (SITA_LNC004161)". Lineage: Eukaryota; Viridiplantae; Streptophyta; Magnoliopsida; Poales; Poaceae. The record is from RNAcentral.
AAGGAUUUGGUGGUGCAAGCACAAAGGGAGGGGUGGACACUCGGUAAGGAGCAGUUUUCGCUGGAAAACUUAAUCGUCUCAUCAAUCGGAACGUUUAAGUUCAAGAACACGCUUAUGAAGUAUGAUCUGAUAGACGGCAAUCAGAUUGAAGACUUUUUAGCUUUGAGUGAUGUUACUCUUACGCUGGUCAAGCUGUUGUAUGGUGAUGACAUCAUUAGCUUCUUGCCGGAUGAUUUCAUGAUGAUGAUUGCUGAUACGGCUACAGUGGCCGGUCGUCGCCACCAACUUGCGCGACUAGAGUGGUCAGCCGCCAUGUGCGACUCGCGUGCUCGGCUACAGUGAUCGACCGCCGAAUCGUCGAUGGGACCCAACGGCAACCACCCUUUUUGUGGGAGAAGCUCUGAAACGGGCAUGCCACUCGAGUGCGUUCGUCGCGGGAGAUCUGGGAGAAAGAUUUUGUGGGUCCACCGGUCAGUCUCGGUUGGUCCACUGCUCAAAUUGAAAAAAGGCACUGUGGGAAGACUUAGAAGGAUGCGGCAGUAUGGGUUGGGGUCGACAUGGAUCGGAGUUGGAAACCAGCGGAAGGGGUCGGAUACUCAGGGGUCGGGACCGGGACCGGAGGUUGAGCUCUUAAACUCGGGAAAGCUGAGACAGGGGAUUAGGGACUCGGAUUAAGAUUUACUUGAAAGAUUUGGGGUUGGUCGUUACAGCGCCCCUCGUCGACCCCUGGGGCGCGGCCUCCAAGCCCCGCAGGGUCGCGCCCUGGGCGGGCGGUCCGCUCAACCUGUCCCCCGCGGCCGGUUGACGGGACUGGUCCCGGAUGAUGAGCGUGCCAGGCACGAAGGCCGGGACGUAACCCUCCUCCUCCUCGGUCUCGUCUUCAUCAUCCUCAUCGUCAUCAUCAUCAUCGUCGUCCGUCACGACCGCGCCGCUCCGCCGCCUUCGGAACUCCUUCGUGGCCCUCUUCCUCCUCCUCGCCGUCUCCUUGUCUUUCCUCCUCUUCUACUUUUCAGUGAGGAGGCAGUUCUGCUGCGGCCGCGCUGCGUCCUCCGGCACUGGCGGGUGGGAGGCUACGGCCUGGUUCAACUCGCCCUGCAGACUCGAAAAUAUCACGUCAGGAAUGGCGAACUAGAAAACACAUGAAAGAAGGAUGAGAAGACAAAGAUUUCUCACCAGCGGGAUGUGGCCUUCGUCCAGGCGCAUCGGAGGGUGAUCCGGCACCGGGUAAACGACGUCCCUGUCGCCCAGCGCCUCACGGACACGCUGCUCGAUCUAGGCGUCGGCGAGCACACCCGUCGCAAGGACGGCGCCGUCAGUCGCCGCGCCGGGAACCAUAUCGCCAAGCGCAGGGGCUUGGAGCAUCAGUGGUGGCACCCUCCGAGCGUGGUACGCCCCGAUAACUCCGGCCCUGGUUAGGCCCUCCUUCAAGCGAUUGAUGGCCUAGAGAAAACCAGUGAUGUUCCUCUUCUCCUUCUCGACCGAACCAUACGUCCAGUUGUCCGGCGCCUCCGCGAUGACGCGGCCGGUGAACUCCAGCAAGGGGGACUCGGAGCAGUUCUUCAUGUAGAACCACUGCUGGUGCCACCCCUUGUGAGACGGCGCGGUCUUCAUCACCAUGUACUUCUUGGCGCGGUUCUGGCGGAGGUGGAUGCCAGCGCACCCCAUCGGCACCGGACCUGUCCGCACCUGGAUCCCCUUCUUCUCGAUCUUGUGAUGCAGGGUGACCGCGAAGAAGUAUUUCCAAAGCGAGAACUUGGGCUCAAUCCCCAGGUACCCCUCGAACAGAGCGACGAACGCCGCGAUGUGCUGGAUCAAGUUGGGGUUGAGGUGCUACAGCUCGAGCCCGUAGUAAUGCAGCAGCCCGCGGAAGAAGUGGCUCGGCGGAUUCGCAAACCCCCUCUCGUGGAAGUGCGCGAACGAGACGAUGUAUCCGUCAUCCGGCUUCGGCGCAUCCUCCCUCCCGGGGUACCACCACUCAUUCUUGGCGGUCCUCUCGCAAAGGAGGCCCUUCUUCACGAGGCUGGUGGCGCGAGCGGUGUUGAAGUUCGAGCGCAGCCAGGACUCCAUCGCUAAGGGAAGGGAAGGCUCAACGGUGGGGGCGGAGAAGGCUAAUGCGCUGGAACGAAGGGAGGUGAAAAGUGCGCAAGAAAGCAAGAAAGGCUGGAGACGAGUGCAGACUCCCUCGUCUUAUAGGGGGCGCGUGGGAAACGAAAGGGCAAUCCGAUCGCAGUUAUUGCGACGCCAGGUACGCCCAUCACUCCGCCUUUUUCGAACCGUGCACACGAUCUCUUCCAACCGCAGGGAACGUCUCCCCUCCUCGUUUCGCGGGCCUGGUGUUUUCCGUGGCUUCACCUCCCAAAGGAUGCACGCGCAUGACUUCCUCCACGUACGGCCCGGGGCCCACCAACAGGUAAAAAAAGGGAUACGGAGCUGAAAAUGCUCCUACGGCCCAUUACGGUCCAGGGGUUCGAAGGCUGGCCCACCGCAGGGUUCGACAGUCACCCCAGGACACUCCCGAGCAAGGGGUGAGAAGGGACGGGUCCGCUAGCGGGCACCACCCAGGCGAGCGAAAGCCAAGGGCGUCCCGACCUCACGUUCGAGGCCGGACUGGCGUUUAAGUUUAUGGUUUUUCCCCGAAGAAAGGCAACGAGCCCCUGGAUCCGAUCGAACGGAUCCGGGAACUAUAUGAAUUGGCCAUCCGGAAUCUGGAGUACGCCACUAGCUUGGCCCAAGCCGAACCCCCCCGAACGGGGACCGGGACUCCACUCCAACUGAUCCGUUAGCAGCUCACCGAGCAUCAUGGUUCGUCCGACGAGGGUAACAUGGCACGGCUCACCCCCUCCGUCCCAACGAACGGAUGCUUGAGGGGUACCGAUUAAAAGACAAUCCAACCUCUCGAUCGGUCCCCUACAACGCGCGGGGGCUCGGGGGCUGGAAUCGCAACCAACGACCAUGCGUGUGGUCAAUAUUUGGAGUCUUGGAGCAGGAGUGGUCGUCGGAACGAUAGGGAAUCUUCCCGAACCGAGCCAUCCUCAGAACACCCCGCCUACCCAAAACUCCCCGGCCAGGCCAAACGAGCGAAGCUUUUCCUCCCUGAUCAAAUGCAGGUUGCAGGUCAAACAAAGAUCCUUGAUGAACGACGAACAUAGCCUCUGGAGGAGCAUUCUUGCUCCACCAAAGGCUCGGGGGCUACUGUUGGGGGGAAAUAUUAACGACUUCCUUAUAUUCCUUAAACGACAGUUAUAAGGGCCCGGGCCCACCUCCAGCAACAGUGACCUCCGCCGACUUGGCCCGACCCCAGGGUCACAGGGUCGGACGCGCUUGACCCCCCGAGGCCGCUCCUCAUCCCAGCCGAGAGAGUUCUGCCUCGCCCGACCCCUCGCAGCAGGUCUCCGCCUCGCCCGACCCCAGGCGCAAGGGGUCGGACGCGCCCGACCCCUCGUCGCAAGGCUCCGUCUCGCCCGACCCCGGGCGCUAAGGGUCGGACGUGUCCGGACCCACAGGAUAGGGCUUCGCCUCGCCCAAAGGACGUGCGCGGACCAACAGACGAGGGCGCAGAUCUUGUGGGCCCCCACCGAUCUCGCCAUCAAUGCAACCGAUGGGACGCGCAUGCUCGGAACACGGCUCUGACACACGGAGAGGCGCCCGCGUUCCUCUACGUGACCUGCUGGAGUUUUCGGGCGGCGCACUGCUGCCACGACUGCACAGGGCUACAGCUGCACCAUCCUAACCCUCCCCUGUGACAUUCGUCAUAGGGCACUCAUCGCCCAUGCUACCUAACUAAGGAGGGUGCGCCGCCCGGUUUCCCGCUCGGCCCGGCGGCAGGGGCGUGUCAGCCGCGCCCCCCGGUCAGCACGCAUGGCUACAAUGGUCGCCCGUCAUCCGCGACGUGCACGGCUACGGUGGCCAGUCAUCAUCAUCAACUCGCACGGCUACAGUGGUCGGUCGCCACGCACGUCUCGCGUGCUCGGCUACAGUGGCCGACCGCUGGGUCAUCGAUGGGACCCAACGGCAACCACCCCUCCUCGGUGGCCACGCUGACAGGACGCAGAAAUCAGAAGGGAAGGCGGCCACCCCGGUGGCUCGACCCCUCUCCCUGUGCUUUACCUUCCUUGCUUACCUUUUUUUACUUCCCUUUACUCCUGGCUCAAUGGUAACUCAUGUGUCCUCUUUACGCUAUAAAAGGAGGACCAGGGGGGCCGAGAAAGGGACGGCUCUCGAAUGGAACAAUCCAACUCCGACCCGCAAUCCAACCUCACGAGCAUCAGUGCACACCCACAGAGACUUGGGACCAGCUUCCCUCUCUCGCCCGUUUGUAACCCCUACUACAAACUUGGCACGAGUAACACGAGCAGCCUCCCACUCUGGACGUAGGGCUAUUCGUGUCCGAACCAGUAUAAAUCUCGUGUCCUCUCGUGCAACCAUCUGAGCCUUACACGCAUAGAAAACAAAUUUACUUGCCGGAGUCUUGACCCAUGAUUCUUGACACCGACACAAAGGUAAAUAAAAUCUAGGCGAACCUUAAUUGGGACCCAUCAAGAUUAAAAGUAUUAUGUGCAUAACAAUGUUGUAUUGAACAUGAAAGUAAAGGUGAAUAGGACUUAAAGAAAUGAUCAAGGACACGACUUGCCUUCUUGACCUUGCUCUUGCUAUUCAUACUCCUCGAAGGCUUGAUCUUCAAAUCCCUCGAACUGCUGAACGUCUACACGCGUCACAUGAGCACGUACAAGCAAACAAAUGCGUAACAUGAAAAACAGUACACCAAUCAUAAUAAACAGAGAAAACAAGAUUGAAAAACUAAUCUACGCAUUAAAACGAACACGUGGAUAUAAAGAACGCGAAAAACGAAGUUAAGAUGCAAAAGAUAUGAUUAAAACAAGUUUUAGGGGCUUUUCAGCGAGAAAAACAACUUCCAGGGCUAAACUGUGAGAAACCGAGGACUUAUACGUAAUUACGCAUACAAACCGAAGGUUUAAUGCGCAAAAACGCCACUCCGGAUGGCGGGUUAAUUUUAUAAAAGAGCAGGGUUUAAAACAGAAGAAAACAGGACCGGCUCGUAAAUAUUUUUGAACUAGCUUGGACUGCAGGUUGAUUUGCGGAGAACGCGAGGGUUAAAAUGCAAAAAUGAUGCGGCGUGGCGCGGUUGACCGGUGCGCUGCUAGUUGACUCUCGCCCAGGCCGUCGAUUCGAGAUCGAGCGGCUGGCGAGGCGCUGCGCUGACGCCAGCAGCGGUGAGCGGCGGUGAGAGGCGGCAGUGCGGCGGUGCUCCGCCGGAGCUGCUCGAAAAUGAGCUCCCGGCCAUGGUUUCACGUGCGGAUUGCACAGGAAGCACGAGGGGCGCACAGCGAACUCGUUUGGAGCUUCGGCGAGGGACUAGGCGCGGUCGAGACUCACCAUGAGGCUGAGCUUGCAGCAGCGGCGCUGGAACUCGGAGGCGGCUAGGGUUUGGUGGUGCGGCAAAAAGGACCAGGGGUGGCGGCCUUAUAUAGGGGCGGAGGCGGCACCGGCUCAGCCCGAGCUCGACGCGGAUGCAGGGACUCGGCGUGCGGAGGAAGGAAGGCGCGGCGCAAGAAAAAGGAAGGGGGCGGCGCGCUGGGAGGAAAGGAGCGGGAGGAGGAAGAAAGGAAGGUGAGGGACGACGCUGCCCACCUAUCGGCGAGAGGAAGCGGUUGCUGCGCCGCGAGCAGGCUGGCGCGGAAACGGGCCAGGGAAAGGGAAUGUGGGCCUGCGGAGCUGGUGGUGGGUUGGAGGAGAAGAAAGGGAGUAGUGUUGGAGGAAAAGGAGAAGGAAGGGGAUGCAACCAAAAAGAGAAGGAAAAAAAAAGCCUUUUUAUGUAAAAAGGGAUUUGAGUUUAGAAUUUGAAUUUGAUCAAACACAGUCAAUCAAAAUAAAUGCACCAGCAUGCAUGCACAAUAAACUCCUAUGGUGAAUCAUUUUAAUUUGAGAAAAUAAAAUUAAAUGCCUAGAAAUUUAAAUAACAUCCUAAUUGAGCAAUUUUUAGUGGAUUUGAAUUCUUUUAAUUUUGGGUGUUACAAUUUGGUGGUGCAAGCAUACAGGGAGGGAUGGACACUCGAUAAGGAGCAGCUCCCGCUGGAAAACUUAAUCGUCUCAUCAAUCGGGAUGUUUAAGUUUAAGAACGCGCUUAUUAAGUAUGAUCUGAUUGAGGACUUUUUAGCUUUGUAGCUGGCAGUGGCUUCUCAAACGCUGGCGGUUUGCUUGCAUGUAACUUGUUCCGAAAUUAGAAUUCAGAAGUACCCGGGAAUGGCAGUUGAGUUGGACAGUAUCAUAGGCAGAAAUAAUGUGUGUAUGCUUGACCAUGCUCGUCGGAAUGGAAGCCUCUGAACAGGCUAGUAGGUAAGAUGAGAAUGAAUCGUUCAAAUCCUCUCCGUUCCCCUCGGCUGUCCAGCGGCCAACUUGUUCUUAUGGUUCUCUGAAUUUUGAUGCUGCUGUGAUCUGGUACAUGCUGUCAAGCUGAUUGAUCGUUAGACAUGUGUGUGCUUUAUUCUAUUUGAUAAACACAUCUAUUCCUUUCACUGUCUGCUAACUUGCAUCAAUUAGUAUGGGUGUAUGCUUGACUAUGCUUCCAACAACGUUGGUAGUCUUAAGAUGUGAAGGUGGUCCAAUAUCUUUAGACUUUAGGUCCCAUCAGAAUUUGUGAAGCAUCAGUUUAAUCAUUUACAUACAGACAAGCUUGUGUCAGCGGAUGAGGAUCAGGUCUAACCUCUUCGGAUUGGGAGAGAUGAAGCAAUCUCCCAGGUCCCAGCAAACCACCUCUUCGGAUUGGGAGAGUUGAAGCAAUCUCCCAGCAAACCUAGGGGUUGGAUAUAAUCCCUGGACCGCUAUCAUUCUUCUGAAGUAACCAAUCCUGUCACAUUUUCUACAUCACAAUAAAUUAUCAAAGUCCUUGUCUGUUCUAAAGUUUACAGAUGGAAACCCGUAUCGGUGAAACAUGUUGUGUUAGUGAUAUUUGGGAUUGCAAUGACUGCGGG